AUACGUAGGUGGCGAGCGUUAUCCGGAUUUACUGGGUGUAAAGGGCGCGUAGGCGGGGGUGCAAGUCAGAUGUGAAAUCUAUGGGCUCAACUCAUAAACUGCAUUUGAAACUGUACUUCUUGAGUACUGGAGAGGUAGACGGAAUUCCUUGUGUAGCGGUGAAAUGCGUAGAUAUAAGGAAGAACACCAGUGGCGAAGGCGGUCUACUGGACAGCAACUGACGCGGAGGCGCGAAAGCGUGGGGAGCAAACAGGAUUAGAUACCCUGGUAGUCCACGCUGUAAACGAUGAAUACUAGGUGUGGGGGGACUGACCCCUUCCGUGCCGCAGUUAACACAAUAAGUAUUCCACCUGGGGAGUACGGCCGCAAGGUCGAAACUCAAAUGAAUUGACGGGG
RNAcentral lists this ribosomal RNA (396 nucleotides) under uncultured bacterium. Its description in RNAcentral is "partial 16S ribosomal RNA". It matches the Rfam family "Bacterial small subunit ribosomal RNA", at positions 523 to 918 of the family's 1533-position model. The record is from RNAcentral.